Bos taurus (domestic cattle) is the source of this 319-nucleotide long non-coding RNA. Lineage: Eukaryota; Metazoa; Chordata; Mammalia; Artiodactyla; Bovidae. The record is from Ensembl.
UCCUAACCCAGGGAUCAAACCUGCAUCUCUUGCGUCUCCUACAUCAAAAGUUGAGAGGUCCACUUGUGCCCAGAGUCACGGACUAUCAAUGAAGAAAGUAUGAUGUAACCAAAAUAACUGUGUCUGCAGAGUGCUUUAUAAACUACUAAAAGCUUUAACAUGCAUUACUGCACUUGAACCUCAGCUCAACCACAACCACCCAAAGUGUUCUGUGAGACAGGAAUUAGUACUUCCACUUCACAGAUCCCUGGGAACCUGCUCCUUUCCCCUCUGCCUUUUGAUUGGAUUCGCAAAUGAGGAGAUGCUUCCAAGAGAUGGG